ACCGUGCAAAGGUAGCAUAAUCAUUAGUUUUUUAAUUGAAAGCUGGAAUGAAUGGUUGGACGAGAAAAUAACUGUCUCAGUACAAUUUAAAUUAGAAUUUUAUUUUUAAGUAAGAAAGCUUAAAUUAGUUUAAAAGACGAGAAGACCCUAUAGAGUUUUAUAUUUAUUAUUAUAUAAGUAAUUAAGUAUUUCCAAGGUUUCUAUAAUAGUAAGUAUUUUGUUGGGGUGACAGAAAAAUUGAAUUAACUUUUUUUAUUUAUUAACAUUGAUUUAUGAGUGUUUGAUCCAUUAAUAAUGAUUAAAAGAUUAAAUUACCUUAGGGAUAACAGCGUAAUUUUUUUUGAGAGUUCUUAUCGAAAAAAAAGUUU
RNAcentral lists this ribosomal RNA (368 nucleotides) under Protaetia orientalis. Its description in RNAcentral is "partial 16S ribosomal RNA". Lineage: Eukaryota; Metazoa; Arthropoda; Insecta; Coleoptera; Scarabaeidae. The record is from RNAcentral.